GACCGAUAGUGAACCAGUACCGUGAGGGAAAGGCGAAAAGAACCCCGGCGAGGGGAGUGAAAAAGAACCUGAAACCGUGUACGUACAAGCAGUGGGAGCACCUUCGGGUGUGACUGCGUACCUUUUGUAUAAUGGGUCAGCGACUUAUAUUCUGUAGCAAGGUUAACCGUAUAGGGGAGCCGCAGGGAAACCGAGUCUUAACUGGGCGUUAAGUUGCAGGGUAUAGACCCGAAACCCGGUGAUCUAGCCAUGGGCAGGUUGAAGGUUGGGUAACACUAACUGGAGGACCGAACCGACUAAUGUUGAAAAAUUAGCGGAUGACUUGUGGCUGGGGGUGAAAGGCCAAUCAAACCGGGAGAUAGCUGGUUCUCCCCGAAAGCUAUUUAGGUAGCGCCUCGUGAAUUCAUCUUCGGGGGUAGAGCACUGUUUCGGCUAGGGGGUCAUCCCGACUUACCAACCCGAUGCAAACUACGAAUACCGAAGAAUGUUAUCACGGGAGACACACGGCGGGUGCUAACGUCCGUCGUGAAGAGGGAAACAACCCAGACCGCCAGCUAAGGUCCCAAAGUCAUGGUUAAGUGGGAAACGAUGUGGGAAGGCACAGACAGCCAGGAUGUUGGCUUAGAAGCAGCCAUCAUUUAAAGAAAGCGUAAUAGCUCACUGGUCGAGUCGGCCUGCGCGGAAGAUGUAACGGGGCUAAACCAUGCACCGAAGCUGCGGCAGCGACACUAUGUGUUGUUGGGUAGGGGAGCGUUCUGUAAGCCUGCGAAGGUGUGCUGUGAGGCAUGCUGGAGGUAUCAGAAGUGCGAAUGCUGACAUAAGUAACGAUAAAGCGGGUGAAAAGCCCGCUCGCCGGAAGACCAAGGGUUCCUGUCCAACGUUAAUCGGGGCAGGGUGAGUCGACCCCUAAGGCGAGGCCGAAAGGCGUAGUCGAUGGGAAACAGGUUAAUAUUCCUGUACUUGGUGUUACUGCGAAGGGGGGACGGAGAAGGCUAUGUUAGCCGGGCGACGGUUGUCCCGGUUUAAGCAUGUAGGCUGGUUAUCCAGGCAAAUCCGGAUAACCAAGGCUGAGGUGUGAUGACGAGGCACUACGGUGCUGAAGUAACAAAUGCCCUGCUUCCAGGAAAAGCCUCUAAGCAUCAGGUAACAUCAAAUCGUACCCCAAACCGACACAGGUGGUCAGGUAGAGAAUACCAAGGCGCUUGAGAGAACUCGGGUGAAGGAACUAGGCAAAAUGGUGCCGUAACUUCGGGAGAAGGCACGCUGGUGUGUAGGUGAAGCCCCUGCGGGUGGAGCUGAGACCAGUCGAAGAUACCAGCUGGCUGCAACUGUUUAUUAAAAACACAGCACUGUGCAAACACGAAAGUGGACGUAUACGGUGUGACGCCUGCCCGGUGCCGGAAG
Molecule: ribosomal RNA, 1404 nt
Filed under: Pseudomonas sp. TB1-B1
Lineage: Bacteria; Pseudomonadati; Pseudomonadota; Gammaproteobacteria; Pseudomonadales; Pseudomonadaceae
Description: partial 23S ribosomal RNA
Rfam family: Bacterial large subunit ribosomal RNA
Source: RNAcentral